RNAcentral lists this non-coding RNA (29 nucleotides) under Mus musculus (house mouse). The record is from RNAcentral. Lineage: Eukaryota; Metazoa; Chordata; Mammalia; Rodentia; Muridae.
UGUUUAAGCGAGCCGUAGACUUUAUUAAA